UACGGAGGGUGCAAACGUUGUCCGGAUUUACUGGGCGUAAAGCGCAUGUAGGUGGCCUUAUAAGUGAAUGAUUAAAGACCAACACUUAACGUUUGGAACUGUUGUUCAUACUGUUUGGCUGGAGGGUGGCAGGGGGAGCAUGGAACUUUUGAGUGUAGGAGUGAUAUCCGUAGAUAUUCAAAGGAACACCAAUGGCGAAGGCAGUGCUCUGGGCCAUUUCUGACACUGGAGAUGCGAAAAGUGUGGGGAGCAAACGGGGAUUUAGAAACCCCC
This 273-nucleotide ribosomal RNA is filed under the name uncultured bacterium. Its description in RNAcentral is "partial 16S ribosomal RNA". It matches the Rfam family "Bacterial small subunit ribosomal RNA", at positions 524 to 788 of the family's 1533-position model. The record is from RNAcentral.